This 846-nucleotide ribosomal RNA is filed under the name Ircinia strobilina (black-ball sponge). RNAcentral describes it as "SSU rRNA". It matches the Rfam family "Eukaryotic small subunit ribosomal RNA", at positions 56 to 908 of the family's 1831-position model. The record is from RNAcentral. Lineage: Eukaryota; Metazoa; Porifera; Demospongiae; Dictyoceratida; Irciniidae.
UGUCUAAGUAUGAAUGUUUCUAUACUGUGAAACUGCGAAUGGCUCAUUAAAUCAGUUAUAGUUUACUUGAUGGUAACCGUACUCGGAUAACUGUACCAAUUGUAGAGCUAAUACGUGCACCAAGUCCCGACUUCUGGAAGGGAUGUAUUUAUUAGAUACAAAGCCAAUGCGGGCUUCGGCCCGGUACAGUUGGCGAGUCAUGAUAACUGCUCGAAUCGCAUGGCCCCGCGCCGGCGAUGGUUCAUUCAAAUUUCUGCCCUAUCAACUUUCGAUGGUAGGGUAUUGGCCUACCAUGGUUACAACGGGUAACGGAGAAUUAGGGUUCGAUUCCGGAGAGGGAGCCUGAGAAACGGCUACCACAUCCAAGGAAGGCAGCAGGCGCGCAAAUUACCCAAUCCCGACUCGGGGAGGUAGUGACAAUAAAUAACAAUGCUGGGCUUUUUUGGUCUGGCAAUUGGAAUGAGAACAAUCUAAAUCCCUUAACGAGGAACAAUUGGAGGGCAAGUCUGGUGCCAGCAGCCGCGGUAAUUCCAGCUCCAAUAGCGUAUAUUAAAGUUGUUGCAGUUAAAAAGCUCGUAGUUGGGUUUCGGAGCGGUCAGGCUGGUCCGCCGAGAGGCGAGUACUGGCCGGCCACUCUUCCUCUCGGAGUCCCUGUCUGCUCUUUAUUGCAGUGGGCAGGGAAUUCGGGACGUUUACUUUGAAAAAAUUAGAGUGUUCAAAGCAGGCGAUUGCUUGAAUACAUUAGCAUGGAAUAAUGGAAUAGGACCUCGGUCCUAUUUCGUUGGUUUCCAGGACCGAAGUAAUGAUUAAUAGGGACAGUUGGGGGCAUUCGUAUUUAAUUGUCAG